UACGGAGGGUGCAAGCGUUAUCCGGAUUCACUGGGUUUAAAGGGUGCGUAGGUGGGCAGGUAAGUCAGUGGUGAAAUCUCCGGGCUUAACCCGGAAACUGCCAUUGAUACUAUCUGUCUUGAAUACCCUAGAGGUGAGCGGAAUAUGUCAUGUAGCGGUGAAAUGCUUAGAUAUGACAUAGAACACCCAUUGCGAAGGCAGCUCACUACGGGAAUAUUGACACUGGGGCACGAAAGCGUGGGGAUCAAACAGG
Molecule: ribosomal RNA, 253 nt
Filed under: uncultured bacterium
Lineage: Bacteria
Description: partial 16S ribosomal RNA
Rfam family: Bacterial small subunit ribosomal RNA
Source: RNAcentral